UGUUAAAUCAUCGACAAAAUAAUAUAAAUAUAUAAAGUAUUUUUCGAUCAGCAGAAAGCCUUUCUAUGUACAUACUUUUUUCAAUACUGUAAAUUCAGAAAUCAUUGCCUUACUUUAAGGAGCAACCAUUUAACUUAAAAGGAGGGAGGGGGUAUGAUAUUUUUCAAAAUUUCAAAAUUUUACACUAUAAGGUAUUGGGAAAAUAUCUGAAUUCAGAAUAAAAAAAAAAUUGUCAUCUGCUCAACCACCAUUUUUUCCCCCAUAAAAUUUGGGAUCACAAUAUAUUUAUAAAGAAAAAAACAAAACCCACCCCCUUGAAGUUAAAUGUUUGUUUCCUUAUAGUGAUUUUUGAAAAAUGGACAAAAAUGGGAGACUUAUUAUUGCGAUUUCAGAAAAAUCUGCAUACUGAUGUAUGUAUAAUACAUGUAUACAUUGGAUUCAUUAAUAUUUGGUGACACCAAUUUUUCGUUGAUUUCAAGGGUUAAAGUGAACCAUGCAUUCAAAUGUUCAACGAAGUACAAAUUUUCUAUUGGCUUGUAAGCAAACUUAUGAAAAACCAAGAAAUAAAAGUAUCAACGAAAGUACAAUGUUUCCUCAAUCCCAAUAAAUUAGUAUCUGCAAAAAUAAAUGAAUACAGAGUACCUGAAUGCCAGUUCUAAUUAUUGUGAUACUCACAUAUUCACAUUAUUUGUCCCAUUAAUAAAUUUCACUGCUUUAAUUAUAAUUCAUAAUUCGCUAAAUAAAAAUCUCACAAUAAUUCCUGAAUUUUAUACAGUACCAACAUACAAAUAUGUGAUUUAUUUAUUUUGAUUGUUAGCUUUGGUUAACUCAUAGUAUACCAUUUACAACAUACUAAAGCAAAUACAUGUAACUAUAUUUUGUAAGGUUGGUAAAGUCUACUUACACAAAAGGCUCUAAAUCAACAUUUUAUCAUUGUACAUAUUCAAUAUUAUGGCCACUUUCCAAAAGAAUAGACAAGAUUAUAAUUGUCAUGACUCAAAACAUUUUUAAACUGCCUCUGUGGUCUUAUGGUAGCAUGUGUACCUCAAACCAGAGACUUUAAAAUGAGUAUUUACUGCUUCUCUAUUUCGGCACCAAAAAUAUUGGUGUAAGAACGAAGACUAAAUGUUAAUACAGAGUCAGGGUGAAAUGUCUUCUUGGGAAAAAUUACCUUAUGAACUUUUUAUAUAGAUUAGACCGCUGGUUUUCCCAUUUGAAUGGUUUUACACUAGUAAUUUUUUUGUUUUCAAUUUAAAUGCAACUGGAUAUUCAUUUUCAUUUUAGGUGCUAAAAGUAUAUAGGGAGUCUACUAACAUUGACUUAUUUUAUAAUAAAUGUACACUGUUCUUAUUUUUUUUUUUAUCUACUAGAGUUUUCACUCAAAUUACAAAAUUGGGUAAAAUUUGUCAUCAAAAGUCAAAUGAUAAUUUUGGCUAUCAGAUAACUUAUUUGAAGAUCUUGUGAAAUUCUCUUCUGACAAUUUUUGCUGCUCACAUUUUUUUAACAUCUACAAUAUCAUAGUUUUUUUUUAACAAAAAAGAAAAAAAUGAUUUAUAAAAAAAUCAUAAUCCAGGGCAAUAACUUCUAGAGGCUGUUGUCUGACAAUUUCAGUUAUUUAACUUAACUGUACAUCUUUUUUGACGAAAUUUUUUACAGGUAAAAGAUUCACUCUGUCUAACAUAGUUAUAUCAUUAUAAUGGGCAAGCAAGGGUUGGCAAGAGGCACUUAUUCUUUGAUGCAUAUCAAUUGUGAGGUAAGCUAAAAAUGGAAAGCUUAAUUGGAUUUUGAAAGUUUAAAUAAGUUAAUGACUAGUAUUUUGAUAUUCUGAUUAAUUGUUUUUUCAUUUGUUGCUUAUAUUAUAUGCAUUCUUAUUCUUUUUCACCCUGCAAAGUAAUCUUUUUCAGUUCUUAAGGGCAUACGAUACAGUUACAGGGGAGGUAUAAAUGACGUUGCUAACUUAAAUUGUUAUUUUCGCGACGUCAAACUGACUUAUCGGGAAAAGGUUCAGUUUUCGACUGAUUUUUCUCAUUUAAACUUAUUUAACUUGAAAACGAGUUCAUGGACCCCUCUUUUUUUUAAAAUACCAUUUGGUUUGAUUAAGCGAGAAGAUAAUAUGUGUGUCAUUAGACAACUUUCGAGUUCGAUGCAUUUCCGUCAAAAACUCUGGUUUUAGUGAACGUCAUUUGUGCGUUUAGGGGCGUCCUCACUUCCGUUCCAAUGUUGAGCGAGUGGUUGGAAAACUAUAAUUCUAUAUUGUACGAAUCAUUCGGCAAAUUGAAUUCUCAAAAUUGACAAUCAGCAUUGCUGUCAUUAGGGAAUUGUCAUUAAGUACCUACAGAACAACCAUUAUUUCUAGUUUAUCCUGCACAAUGACGAUCACUAAGACGCUUGAUGAACGUAAAUAGUGCAGGGAUACAGGCGACCCCUCUAUCUGGUAAAUGACGCCAUAAAGGCGUGUCUAAUUGACAAGUUUUUUCCGGUGACGGAUAUGAACUCGAAAGUGGGCUAUUUUCAUGAAAACGUAAAUAGUGCAUUUUUUUUUAAAUUUGAUAAAUAUACAGCAAAAAAUAAUGUUUUUUUCUCAAUUCAUGAACAUUUGAUUAACAUGAGUUAUUUCUGAAUAAAAAAUG
This 2630-nucleotide long non-coding RNA is filed under the name Mytilus galloprovincialis (Mediterranean mussel). The record is from RNAcentral. Lineage: Eukaryota; Metazoa; Mollusca; Bivalvia; Mytilida; Mytilidae.